GGGCUCACACAAGCGGUGGAGCAUGUGGAUUAAUUCGAAGCAACGCGCAGAACCUUACCUGGGUUUGACAUGCUUGGAUGGCGUCUUGGAAACAGGAACGUCUGCCCUUCGGGGUGAAACUUGCACAGGUGCUGCAUGGCUGUCGUCAGCUCGUGUCGUGAGAUGUCGGGUUAAGUCCUUUAACGAGCGAAACCCUUACCGUUAGUUGCCAUCAGGUUAUGCUGGGAACUCUAACGGGACUGCCGGUGUUAAACCGGAGGAAGGUGGGGAUGACGUCAAGUCCUCAUGGCCUUUAUGCCCAGGGCUUCACACGUGCUACAAUGGCAAUUACAGAGCGACGCGAGACCGCGAGGUGGAGCAAAUCGCAAAAAAAUUGCCUCAGUUCAGAUUGCAGGCUGGCAACUCGCCUGCAUGAAGGUGGAAUCGCUAGUAAUCGCGUAUCAGCGAUGACGCGGUGAAUGUGUUCCUGAGCCUU
Molecule: ribosomal RNA, 475 nt
Filed under: uncultured bacterium
Lineage: Bacteria
Description: bacterial SSU rRNA
Rfam family: Bacterial small subunit ribosomal RNA
Source: RNAcentral